This 506-nucleotide ribosomal RNA is filed under the name uncultured microorganism. RNAcentral's name for it is "bacterial SSU rRNA". It matches the Rfam family "Bacterial small subunit ribosomal RNA", at positions 9 to 498 of the family's 1533-position model. The record is from RNAcentral.
GAGUUUGAUCGUGGCUCAGGAUGAACGCUGGCGGCGUGCCUAAUACAUGCAAGUCGAGCGAACGGACGAGAAGCUUGCUUCUCUGAUGUUAGCGGCGGACGGGUGAGUAACACGUGGGUAACCUACCUAUAAGACUGGGAUAACUCCGGGAAACCGGGGCUAAUACCGGAUAACACAUGAAACCGCAUGGUUUCAUGAUGAAAGACGGUCUUGCUGUCACUUAUAGAUGGAUCCGCGCUGCAUUAGCUAGUUGGUAAGGUAACGGCUUACCAAGGCAACGAUGCAUAGCCGACCUGAGAGGGUGAUCGGCCACACUGGAACUGAGACACGGUCCAGACUCCUACGGGAGGCAGCAGUAGGGCAUCUUCCGCAAUGGCGAAAGCCUGACGGAGCAACGCCGCGUGAGUGAUGAAGGUCUUCGGAUCGUAAAACUCUGUUAUUAGGGAAGAACAUAUGUGUAAGUAACUGUGCACAUCUUGACGGUACCUAAUCAGAAAGCCACGGCU